GUUAAAUACAAUAACAGGCUGGUGUAGUGGCUCAAACCUGUAAUUCCAGCAUUUGAGGAGGCUAAGGUGGGAGAAUUGCUUAAGCACAGGAGUUUGAGACCAACCUGGGCAAAAAAACGAGACUUCAUCUCUAUAAAAUAAAAAUAAAAGUGAAAAUAAAAACAGAACAGAGAAUCAUUUAAGAAAAUACUUCACCAAUUCACAUCAUUGUUAACAUUUUCAAGACCAUCUUUUAAGCUAUUUAUGUAUGUAUAAGCAAUGAUAGAGAAUUUUAGUAGGAGAACCAUUUUUGCUUGCUGCUUUUGAAAAUAAAACUUUGUUAUUUUAUAGUAGUUUUGUGUUUACUGAAAAGUUCAGAGAGUUCCUAUAUACCCCACACCUAGUUUCCUCUUUUAUUAAAAUCUGAUCUUUAGUAUUAUAUAUUUUUCACAAUUAAUGAACCACUAUUGAUAUACUAUUUAAAAUGAAGUCUAUACUUUAUUCAGAUUAACUUAGUGUAAGAAUGAGUUUGUCUGGGUAUAUAUCCAAAUGACUAUAAAUCAUUCUACUAUAAGGACACAUGCACACGAAUGUUCAUUGCAGCACUGUUUACAUUAGCAAAGACCUGGAACCAACCCAAAUGCCCAUCGAUGAUAGACUGGAUUGGGAAAAUGUGGCACAUAUACACCAUGGAAUAGUAUGCAGCAAUCAAAAAUGAGUUCGUGUCGUUUGUAGGGACAUGCAUGAAUCUGGAGAACAUCAUUCUCAGCAAACUGACACAAGAACAGAAAAUUAAAUACCGCAUAUUCUCACUCAUAGGUGGGUGAUGAAAAAUGAGAACACAUGGACACAGGGAAGGGAGUACCAAACACUGGGGUCUAUUGGGGGGAAAAGGGGAGGGACAUGGAUGAAUCUGGAGAACAUCAUUCUCAGCAAACUGAUACAAGAACAGAAAAUGAAACACCGCAUAUUCUCACUCAUAGGCGGGUGAUGAAAAAUGAGAACACAUGGACACAGAGAGGGGAGUACUAAACACUGGGGUCUAUUGGGGGGAAAAUGGGAGGGCCAGUG
RNAcentral lists this long non-coding RNA (1050 nucleotides) under Callithrix jacchus (white-tufted-ear marmoset). Its description in RNAcentral is "lncRNA (ENSCJAG00000070567.1)". The record is from RNAcentral. Lineage: Eukaryota; Metazoa; Chordata; Mammalia; Primates; Cebidae.